CCAGAUUUUGCAUCCCUCAGAGUGUGGUUCCAGGAUUUUGGUUCAAGCCAAUCUCCUAUUAGCAAAUAAAAUGAGCAGAGGUGCCUUAUAGAAAUAGCAAGACAGAUCAAGCAUCGGAUUUCAGAGGGGCUACUGAUGAGAGCAAGCACUACUUGUGUGGUAACUCGAUGCUUGGGGCAAUCCAGAGGAGGACAAGGACAGAGAGAGAGUGACAGAGAUCAGUAAGAACUAGACAAAACCUGAAUUCCUUUGAAUUUCCAAGGUGGAGAAGGGAAGGUCUAGACUCACUUUCAAACCCGCGGGUCUGAACCUACCCUCUGCCAGAGUUUUGCUUCAGGUCAGAGAAAAGAGAGUGUGGCUGGAUUUGGCCACAGUUUUGCAAGAACAAAGUGUGAGAUUUUGCACUAUCAAAUCCAAACCCAAGUGUAAACCCUACCUCUGAUCAUGCCUGGAACACAAAUCCCAGCGCUGACGCUAAUGGAAAUCCAGACACCAUCUCCUUGGCUCAUCUCUAAUAAAAACAA
Molecule: long non-coding RNA, 524 nt
Organism: Mauremys reevesii (Reeves's turtle)
Lineage: Eukaryota; Metazoa; Chordata; Testudines; Geoemydidae
Exons: 3
Source: RefSeq, a predicted model, not a curated record